This 465-nucleotide ribosomal RNA is filed under the name uncultured bacterium. RNAcentral's name for it is "partial 16S ribosomal RNA". It matches the Rfam family "Bacterial small subunit ribosomal RNA", at positions 29 to 507 of the family's 1533-position model. The record is from RNAcentral.
AUGAACGCUGGCGGCGUGCUUAACACCUGCCAGUCGCACGGUGAAAGAGAGCUUGCUCUCUGGAUCAGUGGCGAACGGGUGAGUAACACGUGAGCAAUCUGCCCCUGACUCUGGGAUAAGCGCUGGAAACGGCGUCUAAUACCGGAUACGAGCUGCGAAGGCAUCUUCAGCAGCUGGAAAGAACUUCGGUCAGGGAUGAGCUCGCGGCCUAUCAGCUAGUUGGUGAGGUAACGGCUCACCAAGGCGUCGACGGGUAGCCGGCCUGAGAGGGUGACCGGCCACACUGGGACUGAGACACGGCCCAGACUCCUACGGGAGGCAGCAGUGGGGAAUAUUGCACAAUGGGCGAAAGCCUGAUGCAGCAACGCCGCGUGAGGGACGACGGCCUUCGGGUUGUAAACCUCUUUUAGCAGGGAAGAAGCGAAAGUGACGGUACCUGCAGAAAAAGCACCGGCUAACUACGUG